Molecule: ribosomal RNA, 198 nt
Filed under: uncultured bacterium
Lineage: Bacteria
Description: partial 16S ribosomal RNA
Rfam family: Bacterial small subunit ribosomal RNA
Source: RNAcentral
ACGCUCGACACCUACGGGAGGCAGCAGUGGGGAAUAUUGCACAAUGGGGGGAACCCUGAUGCAGCGACGCCGCGUGAGGGAAGAAGGUUUUCGGAUUGUAAACCUCUGUCUUUGGUGACGAUAAUGACGGUAGCCAAAGAGGAAGCUACGGCUAACUACGUGCCAACAGCCGCGGUAAUCUGAGCGGGCUGGCAAGGC